GAAAAGUUGGAAGUCCAGAGAUGGAUGCGAGGAAAUAGGGGAUGGAGUUUCCUUAUAACCUCUGGAGGGACAGUCCAGAUACAUACCGGGGUGUGUAGCGGGUGGAGGUUCUAAGACAGGCUGGAGGAACAGUGCAGACACACACCAGGGUGUGUAGGGGGUAGAGGUUCUAAGACAGUCUGGAGGGAGAGUGCAGACACACACCGGGGUGUGUAAGCAGUGGAGGUUCUAAGACAGGCUGGAGGAACAGUGGAGACACACACCAGGGCGUGUAGGGGGUAGAGGUUCUAAGACAGGCUGGAGGAACAGUGGAGACACACACCACGGCGUGUAGGGGGUAGAGGUUCUAAGACAGUCUGGUGGGAGAGUGCAGACACACCCGGGGCCGUGUAGGGGGUACAGGUUCUAAGACAGUCUGGUGGGAGAGUGCAGACACACACGGGGCUGUGUCGGGGAUAGAGGUUCUAAGACAGUCUGGUGGGAGAGUGCAGACACACACGGGGCUGUGUCGGGGAUAGAGGUUCUAAGACAGUCUGGUGGGAGAGUGCAGACACACACCAGGGCGUGUAGGGGGUGGAGGUUCUAAGACAGGCUGGAGGAACAGUGGAGACACACACUGGGGAGCGUAGGGGUGCUUUUCUCUGAGUCCCCUAGUACAUGGUAGAGGCUGUAGACCCUCCGCUCUUGGGCACGUGGGUAGGCUCUCAGGAUGACUCUUGGCUCUUGGGCAUGUGGGUGAGCUCUCAGGAUGAUGCCCAGCCCCAAAUUUCAGGCAAUUGUGCAAGGACUUGACCCAUUCAUCCGCUGAGCUGAGUUGCUGAGACUGCUGGGUGCCCGGGUGGUGAUCAUUGUCCGUGGCACACAGAACACACUGCAGCUUCUGCAAAGUGAGCUCAUUUCACGCAUUUUAUGGCUUUGCCAGGCUGCUGUUGACCUGCCAGAACUUUUAAUCAGACAUUUGGAGGACCUGUU
RNAcentral lists this long non-coding RNA (972 nucleotides) under Homo sapiens (human). Its description in RNAcentral is "non-protein coding lnc-CLN8-4:1". Lineage: Eukaryota; Metazoa; Chordata; Mammalia; Primates; Hominidae. The record is from RNAcentral.